CGCUCUACAAAGCUUGUCUAGUACAACUCUAAUAAAGAAUGUAGAAGAAAGAAACUGGAAGAACAGAAAAAUGUUUAUAAAUUUAAAAUAGAAGGGGAGUAUGAAUUUUGACAUGAACUUGGAGGAGUAAACUAGAAAAUAAUAAAAACACUGUUAGGCCCUCCUUGGGGAAACCGCACCUCUGUCGGCUCCAACUUGUCGUCAAAUUCCGCUAAUGAAACCCUAAUUUAUACCACCCCCACUAUAAUCGAUAUUCGAUACAAACGAAGAAAAACUCAUAUCCAAUUGAUUUAAAGUCCUUCAAUUAAUUGCAAUUAGCCACCAGAUUCUGCAGAAUUUGUUCUAGCCAUGGAUGCUCAGAGAGCUUUGUUGGAUGAACUGAUGGGCUCAGCUCGGAAUUUAACUGAAGAUGAGAGGAGAGGGUUCAAGGAAGUCAAAUGGGACGACAAGGAAGUUUGUGCAUACUAUAUGGUUCGAUUUUGCCCCCACGAUCUCUUCGUCAAUACACGUAGUGAUUUAGGACCCUGCCCUAAAAUUCAUGAAGCAAAGUUGAAGGAAAGUUUUGAGAACUCUCCAAGACACGAUUCUUAUGUUCCCAAGUUUGAAGCAGAACUAGCCCAUUUCUGUGAGAAGUUGGUGAUGGACUUGGAUAAGAAAGUGAGGCGUGGUAGAGAACGCCUUGCUCAGGAGGUUGAAGUUCCCCCACCUCCUCCAAUAUCAGCAGAAAAAUCUGAGCAGUUAUCUGUCCUGGAAGAGAAAAUCAAAAACUUGCUAGAACAAGUGGAGUCUCUCGGUGAAGCUGGGAAAGUUGAUGAAGCUGAAGCUCUUAUGAGAAAGGUGGAAAUGCUAAACAUUGAAAAGACUGCCUUGACUCAACAAUCCCAGCAGAACAGUGCCCUAAUGAUUGCUCAAGAGAAAAAGAUGGCUUUGUGCGAGACAUGUGGUUCCUUUCUUGUCGCAAAUGAUGCUGCAGAGAGGACUCAAUCUCACGUCACUGGUAAGCAGCAUGUUGGAUAUGGAAUGGUUCGAGAUUUCUUAUCCGAAUACAAGGCUGCUAAAGAGAAGUCAAGAGAAGAGGAAAGGUUGGCCAGGGAGAAAGAAGCGGAAGAAAGGAAAAAGCUGAGGGAGAAAGAAUAUGACAGCAAACGACGAAGAAGUGACUCAUCUGACAGGGACAAGCACAAAGAUCGAGAUCAUGACAGAGACCGGAGUCGCUACCGAGGAAGAGGUCGUGACUUUGACAGGUCCAUUGACAGAAAUGGCAGAGGAAGCCGUGAUUUUGAUAGGGGGUCAGAUUGGAAACAUGGGACUUCCAGAAAUGGGAGAAACAGAAGCAGGGAGAGAUACCGGGAACGUGAUAGAAGCAGGUCGCGCUCGCCUAUUAGACAUGGUUCCAAGAGGUCCAGGAGUCCAAUUCACAAGUAUUAGAAGAUUAUAGAACGUAGAUGUCUGAACUUUGAAAUUUGAAGAGAGGUUCUGAUCCCCGCUCUUCUGGGGAUCCCCAUGAUAGGAGCAGGUCACUCUCUCCUAUUAGACAUGGUUUCAAGAGGUCCAGGAGUUCAGUUCACAAGUAAUAGAGGAUUAUAGAACGUAGAUGUCUUAACUUUGAAAUUUGAAGAGCUGUUUUGAGACUAUAUCACCUCCCUAUCAUCAUAUAAUUAAAGGGAGGGUUGAGUUAAAAAAACAGAUUCAUUAGUUAUGCAUGGAUAAUGCUGCUAGAGGGAGAUCGUUGGAUGGUUAUUCCUUAGUGAGAUGGCUCAGGGCAAUUUAGUGUUAAUUGUUAUUGCAUAUUUGGCGUGUCAGUGAGCUCAUGAAUAUGAAAGGCUCCAUGUAAUUUGUCUAUCAUCUCAGAUAGGUAACCUCUAUUCUGACUUACUUACCAUCCCUCUACCUUCUUGUGUGUGGAGCUAAAUUCAUGCAGGCAGCAUUGUGGACAUAAGGCAGCUAAUGAUGGUAAUGUGCGAUCGACAACUGAUCAUUGAAUAGAUCCAAGUAUAGAAAUAAUCCACAUACUAUAAGGAAAUUGCGGCAAAAGCAUGCUAAGAAGGAUAAGAAAAAAGAAAUUCAUGGUUCUAAGAAAAGAGGAUCUAACAGUUCUGCAAGUAAAGCUCCCGCCAAGAGAAGAGUUGUUGAAGUUAUUUUCAAAGAUGAGCUUCCUAAGGGAUUGAGUUACGUUAUAAAGGAAAUUCCACCUCAUCCUCUUAGAUUUGGAAGUUGAUGCAAUUUAAAAUUUAAGGAUCAGCCAAAAAGUUUUAGACUUAUUUGAAAAGACUAUUUUUGGAUGUUAUCUCAACAUCCCUUUUUCAAAUUAUAUUGGACAAAUAACAAAGUGGAAUAUGUAUCUGGGACUGCACUGGACUGGACUGCACUGGAAUCCUACAAGGGAAAGACCGAACACGGUCCAUUCCAAGGAAAAUAUGUAUCUAGGAUAGCACAACAAGAUAGUGGAAGUCUGGAUUGUGGUGUAUUUGUAGCUAUCUAUGCCGAGUAUCUGAGAGAGGAAUUAAGCAUUUCAUCAUCGGGUAUUGAUGCUCAAUACCAUUAUCUGAAAUAUGCAAGUCUUUUGUGCAAGUACGGAUCUGAAAAAGCGGAGAAUGACUACUUUAAUGAGAACUACGAUCCACCAAGGCCAAGGAGCAAGUUCUCACCAAAAGAAAUUGUUCGUGUUUUGCAUAUUCAAUAGUUGUUCAUUUGUUGGCUAGUAGGCUAUUAAAUACGCUCAUGAUGUUAGUAACUUUGAUUAUGUUUGAUGAUGUUAGUAAUGUUUAAAUAAACAUACAUUAUGUAUAUUUGAUGAUAAAAUACUUCUACUUUAUCACCAAUUAUAACGCAUGGCUUAAGCAUUUUAUGA
Molecule: RNA transcript, 2851 nt
Organism: Capsicum annuum
Lineage: Eukaryota; Viridiplantae; Streptophyta; Magnoliopsida; Solanales; Solanaceae
Gene name: luc7-like protein 3
Exons: 14
Source: RefSeq, a predicted model, not a curated record